RNAcentral lists this ribosomal RNA (454 nucleotides) under uncultured bacterium. Its description in RNAcentral is "bacterial SSU rRNA". It matches the Rfam family "Bacterial small subunit ribosomal RNA", at positions 340 to 786 of the family's 1533-position model. The record is from RNAcentral.
UACGGAAGGCAGCAGUGGGGAAUAUUGCACAAUGGGCGCAAGCCUGAUGCAGCCAUGCCGCGUGUAUGAAGAAGGCCUUCGGGUUGUAAAGUACUUUCAGCGGGGAGGAAGGCGGUGAAGUUAAUAGCUUCACCGAUUGACGUUACCCGCAGAAGAAGCACCGGCUAACUCCGUGCCAGCAGCCGCGGUAAUACGGAGGGUGCAAGCGUUAAUCGGAAUUACUGGGCGUAAAGCGCACGCAGGCGGUCUGUCAAGUCGGAUGUGAAAUCCCCGGGCUUAACCUGGGAACUGCAUUCGAAACUGGCAGGCUAGAGUCUUGUAGAGGGGGUAGAAUUCCAGGUGUAGCGGUGAAAUGCGUAGAGAUCUGGAGGAAUACCGGUGGCGAAGGCGGCCCCUGGACAAAGACUGACGCUCAGGUGCGAAAGCGUGGGGAGCAAACGAGGAUUAGGAUACC